Molecule: non-coding RNA, 30 nt
Filed under: Cricetulus griseus (Chinese hamster)
Lineage: Eukaryota; Metazoa; Chordata; Mammalia; Rodentia; Cricetidae
Source: RNAcentral
GUAUGGUUGGGAGAUGUGCUGGAAGUACUU